Molecule: long non-coding RNA, 834 nt
Organism: Hemicordylus capensis (graceful crag lizard)
Lineage: Eukaryota; Metazoa; Chordata; Lepidosauria; Squamata; Cordylidae
Exons: 2
Source: RefSeq, a predicted model, not a curated record
GGCGCCGAGCCGGCGCGUAGCUGACUGAGUCGCACGCAUCUUGAGUUGGGUUUAGCGGUUUUUUACGGUAGCUGCUAGCUAACUAUUUUCCUGGGCAUUAAAAUCAUUGUUCCCGCUUCCUACCUAAAGGGAGGAGUUAACAACUGGUAGCGAGCGGCUGGCUUGUGUGGCGUUGUUGUUGACGAGGAAAACAGCUUCUAUGGGGUUAGUCUGGGACAGAUGAAGAAGCUCUGUUACUACUGGAAGCAUAUAAUUUCCAUUCUCUCCAGAGUCCGAAUCCGAAACGCUUAAAGUGGCAGUCGUGACAAGAUUUCCGAUGUUCCAAAUGUUGGUGCCAGGUUCCAAGCUGAGGAUCCUACCGGACAGCAAUAAAUUUCACCAUGUUGAAAGCUUCCACGCGAGUUCAAAAUCCCACCUUCCUGAUAAUCCAGAUUUCCAUAAGCUUCCAAGGAUCUUACUCUCUGGGCACACACUGAUAUACCCGUGUUACCAGAAUAAUGACCCAGAAUAUGAACCAUCUUGUAACCCUUCCUUGAACUCCUAGCUGCUUUUAGAAAGGAAUGUAGCUGGGCCCCAUGGCCCUCCUUUGUAUGCCUUCUCAUACCAAAGCAUGUCACUGGUGCUGUCAAUUGCUUGUUGCCUGAUGUAAAUGAAGAUUGAUCUGCAUAUAUGAUUGCUAAAGUAUCAUCUUGCAAGGUACUGCUAUGUAAAACCUAUGUAGGAUCAAAUGACUUUGAAUGUAUAAAUACCAGCUUGUAACUCUAAAUUUUCGCUCGCGAUUUGGGUACUACCCCGAUAGCCUUACUAUCUGCAGAAGUAAACCUUUUAAGCUUU